Molecule: ribosomal RNA, 358 nt
Filed under: Liposcelis brunnea
Lineage: Eukaryota; Metazoa; Arthropoda; Insecta; Psocodea; Liposcelididae
Description: partial 12S ribosomal RNA
Source: RNAcentral
UGCCCAUGAAUAAAAACAUCAUGGGAGUCCAAACCAAAAAUUAUGGCGGCCUAAUAACACCUCAGAGAAGUAUGGGGCUUAAAACGAGGGUCCACGAACAUCUUACUUCAUCUCGUAAUCAAUUAAAUUGAGGGACAUAUCCCAGCAGUCUCCAUAUCGCCGUCAAAUUGGACAUAGUUCAAACUAUGCUGAUCGGGUUUAAUUACCCCAACCGUUCAGGUAUAGAUGUAGUUUAUGGUGAAGGUGCUUUGUACCUCAUUAAAAAAGCUUCUGAUUACACUUUAAAAGUUAGAUGAAGGUGAAUUUGAAAGUAAUGCUUUUUUAAUAUAUCAGCAUGAAGAGUGUGAUGCUAGGUGUA